UGGGGAAUUUUGGACAAUGGGGGAAACCCUGAUCCAGCCAUCCCGCGUGUGCGAUGAAGGCCUUCGGGUUGUAAAGCACUUUUUGGCAGGAAAGAAACGUCGCGGGGUUAAUACCCCGCGAAACUGACGGUACCUGCAGAAUAAGCACCGGCUAACUACGUGCCAGCAGCCGCGGUAAUACGUAGGGUGCAAGCGUUAAUCGGAAUUACUGGGGCGUAAAGCGUGCGCAGGCGGUUCGGAAAGAAAGAUGUGAAAUCCCAGAGCUUAACUUUGGAACUGCAUUUUUAACUACCGGGCUAGAGUGUGUCAGAGGGAGGUGGAAUUCCGCGUGUAGCAGUGAAAUGCGUAGAUAUGCGGAGGAACACC
Molecule: ribosomal RNA, 366 nt
Filed under: uncultured bacterium
Lineage: Bacteria
Description: partial 16S ribosomal RNA
Rfam family: Bacterial small subunit ribosomal RNA
Source: RNAcentral